This 648-nucleotide ribosomal RNA is filed under the name Triticum aestivum (bread wheat). RNAcentral's name for it is "partial small subunit ribosomal RNA". The record is from RNAcentral. Lineage: Eukaryota; Viridiplantae; Streptophyta; Magnoliopsida; Poales; Poaceae.
AUGGCGACCACCACGCGCAAGGAGGAGGGGCCGGACAAGCGCGUGAAGCAGCAGCAGCAGGGGGGCACCAAGCUCUACUCUAGGAUGCUCUCCAAGGACGUGGCCAUCGCCGUGCCGUCCUUCCGGGUGUACUACGGCGUCGCCUCGGCCGGCUCAGUGCCCUUCCUGUGGGAGUCGCAGCCGGGCACGCCCAAGAGCUCGCCCUCCGUCCGCGGUCGUGGUGGCCUUUGGGCGGCGCCCGAAGUAGAGGAGCAGCGGGAUGGCGAGCGGCGUGCCGCAGGACUAAACCACCAUGGCCAUCCACAAGCUGCCGCCGCCCUGGUGUGGGGGAAGCGCUCGCGCCGCCGCUCUCCGGCAUCGUCAUCCGCGGCAGGGGGAAGGCGAGGUGCGUCCGGUCCAGCCCGGCCUCGCCGCUGGACUACAGCGCCGGCUCCGCCUCCCUCCACUCCGGCGCGUCCACCAGCGGCGGCGAGAACGGCGCCUUCUGCUUGCCGUGGCACGGCCGCACGGGCACCGCGCUGGCGACGACGACGAAGGUGCCUGCUGCCGCCCCCCGCUUUGCUUUGGGUGGAUCCGCUCUCCCAUGCUCCCAUGGCGGACGGGAUCGCACUGGAGUGGAGUAGAGGGAGAGAGGGGAGGGAGGAUUAG